GGGGAUAUGGUCUAGCUUGGAAUCCUAACAAAAAUUAGGGUGAGUAAUUAUGAUGAGAGGUUUGGGACCUUUCGACCCCGGUUCAAAUCCGGGUAUCCCCA
RNAcentral lists this transfer RNA (101 nucleotides) under archaeon GW2011_AR20. RNAcentral describes it as "tRNA-Pro". It matches the Rfam family "tRNA". Rfam says of the family: Transfer RNA (tRNA) molecules are approximately 80 nucleotides in length. Their secondary structure includes four short double-helical elements and three loops (D, anti-codon, and T loops). The record is from RNAcentral.